UCGUCGUGCGGCGGCCGUACUUUCGGCGGGCGGAGCGCCACGACCGGUUCGUCGGCGGCGAGAAACUCCCGGGCAAGGUGACCUUCGUCUCGGCGCAGGAGCAUACAGGCCCGGUGAGCGUCGGCCCGUCGGUGGACCGAGGAAGACCGUCGCGGAGCGGCGUCGACCGUUCGUCGUGUGUUGGCGUUCGACUCGGGGGGACUGGUUCCAGUGCCCUCGGACCGCGCCGGCGCAGCGGCGGGCGCGCACGGCGUCGCGCCUGGGGUCGGUGGCGAAACGGCCGGCAACCUGUCCGACCCGUCUUGAAACACGGACCAAGGAGUCUAACAUGUGCGCGAGUCGUUGGGCGCUACGAAACCCGAAGGCGCAAUGAAAGUGAAGGCCCGGUCUCCGGCCGGCCUGGGUGGGAUCCCGGCGGUCUCGGCCGUCGGGCGCACCACCGGCCCGUCUCGUUCGUUACGUCGAGGAGGCGGAGCAAGAGCGUACACGUUGGGACCCGAAAGAUGGUGAACUAUGCCCGAGUAGGACGAAGCCAGAGGAAACUCUGGUGGAGGUCCGCAGCGAUUCGGACGAGCAAAUCGAUCGUCAAACUUGGGUAUAGGGGNGAAAGANUAAUCGAACCAUAUAGUAGCUGGUUNCUGUCGAAGUUUCCCUCAGGAUAGCUGGCGCUCGUCGUGAGCAGUUUUAUCCGGUAAAGCGAAUGACUGGAGGCCUUGGG
RNAcentral lists this ribosomal RNA (718 nucleotides) under Eiseniella tetraedra. Its description in RNAcentral is "partial large subunit ribosomal RNA". The stretch from base 314 to 718 matches the Rfam family "Eukaryotic large subunit ribosomal RNA", at positions 665 to 1034 of the family's 3401-position model. Lineage: Eukaryota; Metazoa; Annelida; Clitellata; Crassiclitellata; Lumbricidae. The record is from RNAcentral.